RNAcentral lists this unclassified non-coding RNA (877 nucleotides) under Utricularia juncea. RNAcentral's name for it is "partial contains tRNA-Leu (trnL) gene and trnL-trnF spacer region". The stretch from base 1 to 156 matches the Rfam family "Group I catalytic intron", at positions 27 to 157 of the family's 253-position model. Lineage: Eukaryota; Viridiplantae; Streptophyta; Magnoliopsida; Lamiales; Lentibulariaceae. The record is from RNAcentral.
GUAUGGAAACUUACUAAGUGAUAACUUUCAAAUUCAGGGAAACCCCGGAAUUCAAAAAAAUGGGCAAUCCUGAGCCAAAUCCUGUUUUCUCAAAACAAAAGAAAGGUUCAGAAAACGAAAAAAAAAAAGGAUAGGUCCAGAGACUCAAAGGAAGCUUUUCUAACAAAUGGGGGCACUUAUAGAGGAAAAAACGUCAGAAAGGAUCAARAAAAAACCUAUCUUUUGAARAGUAUAUCAAAAAAAUGAUUAAUGAUGGCCCGAAYCUCUARAUGUUUUUUGAUAUGCAAAAAAAAAAAAGAAGAAUUGAUGUGAAUUCAUCCGACAUUGACGAAAAAAUAGAAUUUUGAUUCAUCAAAUCAUUCACUCCAUAGUCUGAUAAACUUUUUAAAGAAUUGAUCAAUCGGACAAGAAUAAAGAUAGAGUCCCCUUCUACAUGUCAAUACCGGCAACAAUGAAAUUUAUAGUAAGAGGAAAAUCCGUUGACUUUAAAAUCGUGAGGGUUCAAGUCCCUCUAUCCCCAAACAAACUAUUUGACUCCCAAAUCGUUAUCCUACCCUAUCCCUUUGGGUUACAAAUUGCUUUUUUUUAUGAUUCUUUGAUAUUUGAUAAAAGGUUGGGUGUAAAUGACUUUAUCUUCUCCCAUUUGAUAUAGAAUACACAUCCAAAAAAGCAAAGAAUCCCGAUUUAAAUGAUUAACAAUCAAUAGCUUUACGAAUACUGAAACUUAGAAAGUGGUCUUUUUGAAGAUCAAAGAAAUUGAAAGGAGAAAAAUUUGUAAUCCCCCCUUUCCCUGUAAUUGACAUAGACCCCGGUCAUCGACUAAAAUAAGAAAAUGCGUAUGGGUGACUACGCUGACAAUGGUCGGGAUAGCUCAGUU